UCCCUAGUGGCUCAGAUGGUAAAGCAUCUGCCUACAAUGCAGGAGACCCGGGUUCAAUCCCUGAGUCAGGAA
This 72-nucleotide transfer RNA is filed under the name Bos taurus (domestic cattle). It matches the Rfam family "tRNA". From Rfam's summary of the family: Transfer RNA (tRNA) molecules are approximately 80 nucleotides in length. Their secondary structure includes four short double-helical elements and three loops (D, anti-codon, and T loops). Further hydrogen bonds mediate the characteristic L-shaped molecular structure. tRNAs have two regions of fundamental functional importance: the anti-codon, which is responsible for specific mRNA codon recognition, and the 3' end, to which the tRNAs corresponding amino acid is attached (by aminoacyl-tRNA synthetases). tRNAs cope with the degeneracy of the genetic code in two manners: having more than one tRNA (with a specific anti-codon) for a particular amino acid; and 'wobble' base-pairing, i.e. permitting non-standard base-pairing at the 3rd anti-codon position. RNAcentral also lists the same sequence under 2 other names. Lineage: Eukaryota; Metazoa; Chordata; Mammalia; Artiodactyla; Bovidae. The record is from Rfam by way of RNAcentral.